UGGGGAAUAUUGCACAAUGGACGGAAGUUUGAUGCAGCGACGCCGCGUGGAGGGUGUAGGCCUUCGGGUUGUGAACUCCUUUUUCUCGCGAAAAAGGCACAGUUUUGGCUGUGUUGAUGGUAGUGGGGGAAGAAGCGCCGGCUAACUACGUGCCAGCAGCCGCGGUAAUACGUAGGGCGCGAGCGUUGUCCGGAUUUAUUGGGCGUAAAGAGCUCGUAGGUGGUUCGUCGCGUCUGUCGUGAAAGCCAGCAGCUUAACUGUUGGUCUGCGGUGGGUACGGGCGGGCUUGAGUGCGGUAGGGGUGACUGGAAUUCCUGGUGUAGCGGUGGAAUGCGCAGAUAUCAGGAGCAACACCGAUGGCGAAGGCAGGUCACUGGGCCGUUACUGACACUGAGGAGCGAAAGCGUGGGGAGCGAACAGG
RNAcentral lists this ribosomal RNA (421 nucleotides) under Fusobacteriota bacterium. RNAcentral's name for it is "Fusobacteria bacterium partial 16S ribosomal RNA". It matches the Rfam family "Bacterial small subunit ribosomal RNA", at positions 355 to 776 of the family's 1533-position model. The record is from RNAcentral. Lineage: Bacteria; Fusobacteriati; Fusobacteriota.